Molecule: ribosomal RNA, 465 nt
Filed under: Vreelandella stevensii
Lineage: Bacteria; Pseudomonadati; Pseudomonadota; Gammaproteobacteria; Oceanospirillales; Halomonadaceae
Description: partial 16S ribosomal RNA
Rfam family: Bacterial small subunit ribosomal RNA
Source: RNAcentral
CCUACGGGUGGCAGCAGUGGGGAAUAUUGGACAAUGGGCGAAAGCCUGAUCCAGCCAUGCCGCGUGUGUGAAGAAGGCCUUCGGGUUGUAAAGCACUUUCAGUGGGGAAGAAAGCCUUGGGGCUAAUACCCUCGAGGAAGGACAUCACCCACAGAAGAAGCACCGGCUAACUCCGUGCCAGCAGCCGCGGUAAUACGGAGGGUGCGAGCGUUAAUCGGAAUUACUGGGCGUAAAGCGCGCGUAGGCGGUCUGAUAAGCCGGUUGUGAAAGCCCCGGGCUCAACCUGGGAACGGCAUCCGGAACUGUCAGGCUAGAGUGCAGGAGAGGGAGGUAGAAUUCCCGGUGUAGCGGUGAAAUGCGUAGAGAUCGGGAGGAAUACCAGUGGCGAAGGCGGCCUUCUGGACUGACACUGACGCUGAGGUGCGAAAGCGUGGGUAGCAAACGGGAUUAGAUACCCGAGUAGUC